UAAACGGUCUUUUUCAAGACCAAUGAGUUUUUUUUUUAAAUGAUUU
This is a non-coding RNA of Aedes aegypti (yellow fever mosquito), 46 nucleotides long. The record is from Rfam. NCBI's taxonomy places the organism in Eukaryota, Metazoa, Arthropoda, Insecta, Diptera, Culicidae.